RNAcentral lists this ribosomal RNA (1384 nucleotides) under uncultured bacterium. RNAcentral describes it as "16S ribosomal RNA". It matches the Rfam family "Bacterial small subunit ribosomal RNA". The record is from RNAcentral.
UUCGCCCUUAGAGUUUGAUCCUGGCUCAGGACGAACGCUGGCGGCGCGCCUAACACAUGCAAGUCGAACGGAGCUUAGAGAGCUUGCUUUUUAAGCUUAGUGGCGAACGGGUGAGUAACGCGUGAGUAACCUGCCCUAGAGUGGGGGACAACAGUUGGAAACGACUGCUAAUACCGCAUAAGCCCACGGUACCGCAUGGUACUGAGGGAAAAGGAUUUAUUCGCUUUAGGAUGGACUCGCGUCCAAUUAGCUAGUUGGUGAGGUAACGGCCCACCAAGGCGACGAUUGGUAGCCGGACUGAGAGGUUGAACGGCCACAUUGGGACUGAGACACGGCCCAGACUCCUACGGGAGGCAGCAGUGGGGGAUAUUGCACAAUGGGGGAAACCCUGAUGCAGCGACGCCGCGUGGAGGAAGAAGGUUUUCGGAUUGUAAACUCCUGUCGUUAGGGACGAUAAUGACGGUACCUAACAAGAAAGCACCGGCUAACUACGUGCCAGCAGCCGCGGUAAAACGUAGGGUGCAAGCGUUGUCCGGAAUUACUGGGUGUAAAGGGAGCGCAGGCGGGAAGACAAGUUGGAAGUGAAAACCAUGGGCUCAACCCAUGAAUUGCUUUCAAAACUGUUUUUCUUGAGUAGUGCAGAGGUAGAUGGAAUUCCCGGUGUAGCGGUGGAAUGCGUAGAUAUCGGGAGGAACACCAGUGGCGAAGGCGGUCUACUGGGCACCAACUGACGCUGAGGCUCGAAAGCGUGGGGAGCAAACAGGAUUAGAUACCCUGGUAGUCCACGCCGUAAACGAUGACUACUAGGUGUUGGAGGAUUGACCCCUUCAGUGCCGCAGUUAACACAAUAAGUAAUCCACCUGGGGAGUACGACCGCAAGGUUGAAACUCAAAGGAAUUGACGGGGGCCCGCACAAGCAGUGGAGUAUGUGGUUUAAUUCGACGCAACGCGAAGAACCUUACCAAGUCUUGACAUCCUGCGACGCACAUAGAAAUAUGUGUUUCCUUCGGGACGCAGAGACAGGUGGUGCAUGGUUGUCGUCAGCUCGUGUCGUGAGAUGUUGGGUUAAGUCCCGCAACGAGCGCAACCCCUAUCCUCAGUAGCCAGCGGUUCGGCCGGGCACUCUGGGGAGACUGCCAGGGAUAACCUGGAGGAAGGCGGGGAUGACGUCAAAUCAUCAUGCCCCUUAUGACUUGGGCUACACACGUGCUACAAUGGCGUAAACAAAGGGAGGCAAAGCUGUGAAGCCGAGCAAAUCUCAAAAAUAACGUCUCAGUUCGGACUGUAGUCUGCAACCCGACUACACGAAGCUGGAAUCGCUAGUAAUCGCAGAUCAGAAUGCUGCGGUGAAUACGUUCCCGGGUCUUGUACACACCGCCCGUCA